Molecule: long non-coding RNA, 560 nt
Organism: Herpailurus yagouaroundi (jaguarundi)
Lineage: Eukaryota; Metazoa; Chordata; Mammalia; Carnivora; Felidae
Exons: 3
Source: RefSeq, a predicted model, not a curated record
CGUGUUACUAUGGUUCCAUUUUACAGAUGAGUACAUUGAGGUUUGGCGAGUCCGGCCCAGAAGGAUGUCCGCGGCCGCUCUCCUGGGAGUUGCUCAAACGCAGACGUGCCCGAACGCCCACCAGCAUGGAUAAAUUGCUCACUGUGUGUUCACAGAGUGGAAUCCUCCGCAGCCGUGAAGACGGGUCCCGAGCCGGAAACCAACAUGGGUGAAAGAAGCCGGACGUGAAGGAAUACACGCGCUGAAUGAUUCCAUCCUAGGACAGACCGGAACAGACAAAACUAGGAUACUGUCCGAGGGCCGGGUCCAACCAUCCUUUAAUGGAGACGGGAGGUGAAGAUCCGUUUGCCAGCCAGUCUCCGGCAUCUAAGCUGCGGCUUUCCCCAGACAGGGAUGUGCCUCCGGAUGGAGUCAUUUCUCCGGACCCCUUCACCGGCCCCCACCUGCUGCUCUGGAGGGAGAGAGGCCUUGGCAGGCGCCCAGCAGGCCCCUCGCUCGGUGCAGAGGACCUGAAAGGCCGUGCCAGCCCCAAGGCUUUCCCAGAGGAAACCUCGCCCCCG